Long non-coding RNA from Zea mays, 1264 nucleotides. RefSeq lists it as uncharacterized. The record is from RefSeq and is a predicted model, not a curated record. NCBI's taxonomy places the organism in Eukaryota, Viridiplantae, Streptophyta, Magnoliopsida, Poales, Poaceae. The transcript has 3 exons.
ACUUCUAUUCUUGCCACAUAACUUUUCGCAGCACUUGUGGUUGCCGAUUCGGCCGCCACAAACUUGAGACCCGCCACACUUCUCUAGGGCGCCAGCGCCGGCCCUAGCACCUCCACUGCAACUCCCUUGAUACUUGGACCACCGGAUCUGAUGCUGGCUGUCGACUGCCAUUAGAAGGACUUGUUGCAAGCUGAGGGCACCAGGAGACCCUUGUUUGCUACUGCUCAAGUUCACAGGAUGCGUUGAGGAUUGGACCAAGGAAAUGAGGAUGCAACACCUCAAAAGAAGUCAUAAAAAGAUGCAUAGAAGUCCAAGACUCAAGAACAAAAGAAGCCCAAAGAAAUCAGCGAAGAAACCUGAGAAGAGGGCUGUCAGCCAGCGACUGGUGACGCACCGGACAGUGCAUAGUACCUGUCCGGUGUGCACCGGACUGUCCGGUGGGACAACCGGACAGUCUGCGCAGAGAGGCCGAAGUCAGGCGCUCUCGGGCUGUAGCACCGGACUGUCCGGUGUGCGGCAACGGUCAGAUCCAACGGUGGACUGCUACAGCUGCCAACGGUCGGCUGACGUGGCGUGCACCGGACACUCCACAGUAGCUGUCCGGUGGUGCACCGGACUGUCCGGUGCACCCGACGACAGAAAGUUGCUGCUUUCUGUCCAACGGCUAGUUUGGGGUGUGGAGGCUAAUACCACCCCAACCGGCCAUUCUCUAGUGUGGGAGCCCAAGCAACAUACCAAGACACAUAGUGCAUAUUUCCAAGAGUUCAAACACCCAAGUGCUUAAUAGAAUCACUCGGUGAUUAGUGUAGGUGCUUUUGCGAAGUGCUUAGGCUAGUUAGACCGCUCUAGCGCUUGCUAUAGGUGAACCCUAGAUUGUUGAGUGAGUUUAGACAAACCUCACAACCCCUCGGCUCUUGCGUGAGCCGUAGUAAUUGUACCGAGUGGGGCGAGAGUCUUGCGAGACCGUGACAACCGCGUUUGUGUCACGGCCGCCACCGUGUACCGGAGGGAACGAGGCCCGCGGCGUUUCGGCCGGAAGCUCGUUAGUGGAGACGGCGGGGAGCGUCCGAGAGGAGCCGAAAGCGGAGCACCACUUGCGCGUGGAGAAGGCCCGUGUCUCUCUACGGAGUUACUCGACCGAGGUGCUUGGCCCUCGCGUGGGCUUCCCUUUGCGUAGGGGCACCAACGAGGAUUAGUCAGGACCUUGCGCAGUUCCGGAUACCUCGGUAAAAAUACAGGUGUCAUCCACGAGAGUUUGCUUCUC